Molecule: long non-coding RNA, 622 nt
Organism: Orbicella faveolata
Lineage: Eukaryota; Metazoa; Cnidaria; Anthozoa; Scleractinia; Merulinidae
Source: RefSeq, a predicted model, not a curated record
ACAUCGAUAUGUAGAUUUCCAGUCUUAGCAAGUGUAUGUUAAAUCAACAACUCCUGACCAACCAUUUCAAGGGUUGAAAUUGUUUUCACCACAUACAUGUAUGAAUGCAACAAUCACAGUACUGGUGAUAAAAUAUUUAUUGAACUGAAAGUUAGACAACUAUUGUUUUUAUUUCCAAUAACAUUUAAGAUAUUUAAACCUUAGAAGCAUUCUGUCUAGUUGAAGGGAGUGAUAGUUAUUUUAAAGUUGAACCGUUUGAAUAGAUGCAAUUUUUUUCUAAAAUGGGUGCUCCAGAUGGGUGUCUCAAAAACUCAGACCUCAACCCCUAAAAGAUCAGACCCUCUGGAUGUCUUGAAAACUCAGGCACAUGUUUGCCACAGAUUGUUUCAAAAUGACUUGUUUACAAUGUCAUACAUAUACUGCAGGCAGAAUCUGAGGGAAGAGAGGGAAAAAGAAAAAUCAGCUGUGGAGAGGAAGGACUACAAAAGUUGGACCAGAUAAAAUUCAGAUUACCAGUCUGGGCUGAAUUGAUUCGGAUCAACUCUGAUCAUGAAAAGCCCAUGAAUCCAAUGGUCAAAAUAUUGGUGGACUCAACUGACAGGCAUUAAUAUAGAGUAUAAUC